RNAcentral lists this ribosomal RNA (210 nucleotides) under uncultured bacterium. RNAcentral describes it as "partial 16S ribosomal RNA". It matches the Rfam family "Bacterial small subunit ribosomal RNA", at positions 568 to 775 of the family's 1533-position model. The record is from RNAcentral.
CGCGUAGGCUGUUAUGUGUGUCAGAUGUGAAAUCCCAAGGCUUAACCUUGGAACUGCAUUUGAAACUGCAUGACUAGAGUGAGUAAGAGGCGGACGGAAUUCCGAGUGUAGCAGUGAAAUGCGCAGAUAUUCGGAGGAACAUCGGUGGCGAAGGCGGUUCGCUGGUACUCUACUGACGCUGAGGCGCGGAGAGCGGUGGGGAGCAAACCA